GUCUAUGGUCAUACCACUCUGACCAGGCCUGAUCUUCUCUGAUCUCGGAAGCUAAGCAGGGUUGGGGCUGGCUAGAACUUGGAUGGGAGACUGCCUGGGAAUACCAGGUGCCGUAGGCU
Molecule: ribosomal RNA, 119 nt
Organism: Fukomys damarensis (Damara mole-rat)
Lineage: Eukaryota; Metazoa; Chordata; Mammalia; Rodentia; Bathyergidae
Source: Ensembl